UACUUGAUCUUGAUUAUCCUACUCGGAUAACUGUGGCAAUUCUAGAGCUAAUACACGCAAGAAAGCUCCGACCUUACGGGACGAGCGCAUUUAUUAGACCAAAACCAAUCGGGCUUCGGCCUGAGCGGUGGUGACUCUGAAUAACUAAGCUGAUCGCAUGGUCUUUGUACCGGCGACGCAUCUUUCAAGUGUCUGCCUUAUCAACUUUCGAUGGUAGUUUAUGUGCCUACCAUGGUUGUUACGGGUAACGGAGAAUAAGGGUUCGACUCCGGAGAGGGAGCCUGAGAAAACGGCUACCACAUCCAAGGAAGGCAGCAGGCGCGCAAAUUACCCACUCUCGGCACGAGGAGGUAGUGACGAAAAAAUAAACGAGGCGGUUCUGUCAGAGGCCCGCCAUCGGAAUGGG
This 406-nucleotide ribosomal RNA is filed under the name Tardigrada environmental sample. Its description in RNAcentral is "SSU rRNA". It matches the Rfam family "Eukaryotic small subunit ribosomal RNA", at positions 118 to 518 of the family's 1831-position model. The record is from RNAcentral. Lineage: Eukaryota; Metazoa; Tardigrada.